AAACAGAAGACGCGGAAUCACCUGUACUGCUCUGCACCCCGGGACUUACAGACUCUGUCUUAGGUUUUUAUAGUAGAAAUGCCACUCUUCAUAAUAAGCAUUAAAGUAAACUUGAGAUCACAUUUUAAUGUAGAAAUUCUGAUGUCAAAAAUGGAAGGUUAGUGUUCUCUGGCCAGAUAAUUUUAAGACCAGCAGAACCCAUUAAAAAUUAUGGCCAAGCCAUUAAAAUUAUGUCUCAUAUCCCAUGUGCUAAAAACGAUGUAAAUCUUGGUACUUCACAAUUAUUCACUGGAGAGUCUCCAUUUCAUUAUUGUCAUUUUUAAAGAAACCACCUCUUCUUUCUUUCACCCCAAGAAAAAUCUGAUCGCCAACUGGAACCUGUGUGGAAGGUUCUGAUGUCCUAGCAACUAAUUGGAUCCUCUUAAAGUUUGUAUUUUAUGUCUUACCUAUUUAGAAAUCUGAAAAGCUUCUCUUCAAAAAGCAGGCAUCUCAGAUCUUAAUUUUUAAGUGUUAAGUAUUGCUGCAGUCAAGGUUAAAUGAAUUGAUGGUUUGGUGCUAGAUUCAAUACAAUUCUUGGAGAAGAUUUUCUUUUGAGCUUAAGUGUAAUUCACACACUAAUAUUUUAAAGCUCUACUUAAUGUCUUACAUAUCAUAUAUGAAACAAAGCAUGUAUUUAGGUCAAGUUAUAUUUUAAGUGACCUCUAGGAAUAGCCUAUAUGUUAACUAUAAAGGUCUAUAAUGACAUUUACUAAAGAUGGGAUUAAUUUCAUGGGUUCUACUA
Molecule: long non-coding RNA, 781 nt
Filed under: Bos taurus (domestic cattle)
Lineage: Eukaryota; Metazoa; Chordata; Mammalia; Artiodactyla; Bovidae
Description: long non-coding RNA NONBTAT024881
Source: RNAcentral